GUUGAAAAAUUAGCGGAUGACUUGUGGCUGGGGGUGAAAGGCCAAUCAAACCGGGAGAUAGCUGGUUCUCCCCGAAAUCUAUUUAGGUAGAGCCUUGAGCGGACACCUUCGGGGGUAGAGCACUGUUUCGGCUAGGGGUCCAUCCCGGAUUACCAACCCGAUGCAAACUACGAAUACCGAAGAGUGAUACUCAGGAGACACACGGCGGGUGCUAACGUCCGUCGUGGAGAGGGAAACAACCCAGACCGCCAGCUAAGGUCCCAAAGUCUAUAUUAAGUGGGAAACGAAGUGGGAAGGCUUAGACAGCUAGGAUGUUGGCUUAGAAGCAGCCAUCAUUUAAAGAAAGCGUAAUAGCUCACUAGUCGAGUCGGCCUGCGCGGAAGAUGUAACGGGGCUCAAAUAUAGCACCGAAGCUGCGGCAUCAGACGAAAGUCUGUUGGGUAGGGGAGCGUUCUGUAAGCGGAUGAAGGUGAAUCGAGAGGUUUGCUGGACGUAUCAGAAGUGCGAAUGCUGACAUAAGUAACGAUAAAACGGGUGAAAAACCCGUUCGCCGGAAGACCAAGGGUUCCUGUCCAACGUUAAUCGGGGCAGGGUGAGUCGGCCCCUAAGGCGAGGCUGAAAAGCGUAGUCGAUGGGAAACGGGUUAAUAUUCCCGUACUUGGAUAAACUGCGAUGUGGGGACGGAGCAGGUUAGGUUAUCGCACUGUUGGAUAUGUGCGUUUAAGUUGGUAGGUGUGAAGUUUAGGCAAAUCCGGACUUCUUUAACACCGAGAGAUGAUGACGAGGCUCUACGGAGCUGAAGUAACCGAUACCACACUUCCAGGAAAAGCCACUAAGCUUCAGGUUUAUCUAAACCGUACUGAAAACCGACACAGGUGGUCAGGUAGAGAAUACUCAGGCGCUUGAGAGAACUCGGGUGAAGGAACUAGGCAAAAUAGCACCGUAACUUCGGGAGAAGGUGCGCCGGCGUAGAUUGUAGUCCCUUGCGGAUGAAGGUUGAACCGGUCGAAGAUACCAGCUGGCUGCAACUGUUUAUUAAAAACACAGCACUCUGCAAACACGAAAGUGGACGUAUAGGGUGUGAUGCCUGCCCGGUGCUGGAAGGUUAAUUGAUGGUGUAAUCGAAAGAGAAGCUCCUGAUCGAAGCCCCAGUAAACGGCGGCCGUAACUAUAACGGUCCUAAGGUAGCGAAAUUCCUUGUCGGGUAAGUUCCGAC
Molecule: ribosomal RNA, 1216 nt
Filed under: human gut metagenome
Description: bacterial LSU rRNA
Rfam family: Bacterial large subunit ribosomal RNA
Source: RNAcentral